GAUGAAAGAACGUAGCGAAAUGCGAUAAGUAGUGUGAAUUGCAGAAUUCAGUGAAUCAUCGAAUCUUUGAACGCACAUUGCGCCCCUUGGUAUCCCGAGGGGCAUGCCUGUUCGAGCGUCAUUUCACCACUCAAGCCUGGCUUGGUGUUGGGCGACGUCCCCUUUGGGGACGCGCCUCGAAACGCUCGGCGGCGUGGCACCGGCUUUAAGCGUAGCAGAAUCUUUCGCUUUGGAAGUCGGGGCCCCGUCUGCCGGAAGACCUACUCGCAAGGUUGACCUCGGAUCAGGCAGGGAUACCCGCUGAACUUAAGCAUAUCAAUAAGCGGAGGA
Molecule: unclassified non-coding RNA, 330 nt
Filed under: soil metagenome
Description: partial contains 5.8S ribosomal RNA, internal transcribed spacer 2, and large subunit ribosomal RNA
Rfam family: 5.8S ribosomal RNA (bases 6-121)
Source: RNAcentral